Molecule: ribosomal RNA, 1088 nt
Filed under: uncultured bacterium
Lineage: Bacteria
Description: bacterial SSU rRNA
Rfam family: Bacterial small subunit ribosomal RNA
Source: RNAcentral
UAUGCGAGGCUACCUGCAAGUCGAGCGGCAGCGACAACAUUGAACCUUCGGGGGAUUUGUUGGGCGGCGAGCGGCGGACGGGUGAGUAAUGCCUGGGAAAUUGCCCUGAUGUGGGGGAUAACCAUUGGAAACGAUGGCUAAUACCGCAUGAUAGCUUCGGCUCAAAGAGGGGGACCUUCGGGCCUCUCGCGUCAGGAUAUGCCCAGGUGGGAUUAGCUAGUUGGUGAGGUAAGGGCUCACCAAGGCGACGAUCCCUAGCUGGUCUGAGAGGAUGAUCAGCCACACUGGAACUGAGACACGGUCCAGACUCCUACGGGAGGCAGCAGUGGGGAAUAUUGCACAAUGGGCGCAAGCCUGAUGCAGCCAUGCCGCGUGUAUGAAGAAGGCCUUCGGGUUGUAAAGUACUUUCAGCAGUGAGGAAGGAGGUAUCGUUAAUAGCGGUAUCUUUUGACGUUAGCUGCAGAAGAAGCACCGGCUAACUCCGUGCCAGCAGCCGCGGUAAUACGGAGGGUGCGAGCGUUAAUCGGAAUUACUGGGCGUAAAGCGCAUGCAGGUGGUUUGUUAAGUCAGAUGUGAAAGCCCGGGGCUCAACCUCGGAAUUGCAUUUGAAACUGGCAGGCUAGAGUACUGUAGAGGGGGGUAGAAUUUCAGGUGUAGCGGUGAAAUGCGUAGAGAUCUGAAGGAAUACCGGUGGCGAAGGCGGCCCCCUGGACAGAUACUGACACUCAGAUGCGAAAGCGUGGGGAGCAAACAGGAUUAGAUACCCUGGUAGUCCACGCCGUAAACGAUGUCUACUUGGAGGUUGUGGCCUUGAGCCGUGGCUUUCGGAGCUAACGCGUUAAGUAGACCGCCUGGGGAGUACGGUCGCAAGAUUAAAACUCAAAUGAAUUGACGGGGGCCCGCACAAGCGGUGGAGCAUGUGGUUUAAUUCGAUGCAACGCGAAAACCUUACCUACUCUUGACUCCAGAGACUUAGCAGAGAUGUUUGGUGCUUCGGGACUCUGAAAAGGUGCUGCUGGCUGUCGCCGCUCGUGUGGGAAUGGUGGUUAAGCCCGCACGAGCGACCCUUACCUUGUUGCCACGAGAAU